CUUUUGCUUUCUUUUUCCUGCCCCGGGCCUCGCUCUCGCGCACGGGACCACAAUGCUCCGCGCCGCUUGUCAUUUGGAGGCGCCCAAAGAAUUCAGCCAGAGGAACAUGAACCACAGACGUUCAUCACCCUUCCCAGGACCGAGUUCAUUUUCAGCAGCCCAGGUGGGAUGACCAGAAAUGAAUAUCCGUGCUGGACUCCUUGGAUCUCCUGGAGGAUUUGGCAUAACCGGGGCACAGCCUUCUUCGCUCGACCAGGCUUAGUUGGAGUGACAGAUUUAAAAAACAGUGAGGGAGAUUGGUUCAAGAUGGCGGAGUAGAAGGACGUGCUCUCACUCCCUCUUGCGAGAACACUGGAAUCACAACUACCUGCUGAACAAUCAUCAACGGGAAGACACUGGAACUCACCAAAAAAGAUACCACACAUCCAAAGACAAAGGAGAAGCCACAAUGAGAUGCUGGCAAGUAGAUAGAGAGCCCUAGAAGAAAGACAACAAUGAUGAAACAGUUGAAUGUUAAAGACGGUGAAAAAGUGCCUCAAAAUUUUUCUUAUCUUUUGUUUUUUAUUCAGUUUUCCUUUAAAAAAGUCAAAGCACUUCACAGACAUCGUCCUCAUUAAUUUUCACAGUCCUUUAGUGUCAGAAACAGACAAAACAAUCUUAUAUCCACUGAAUAGACAGAGUUAGGGGGAAAGAAGGGCUAUGGCCAAAGGAACUGCCCAGAUUCAGAAGUCUGGAUAAAAAGCUGACAUUUGUUAUUCUAAAUCACCAUCUCACAUGUGACCCUGCCUUCAAUCACAAGUCCCUCAAGAGUUUGAGAUCCUGAGACCAGAGUCUGUUUGUUAAACACUAAGAGGGCACCACUCGUAUGCCAGGAGCUGUUCCAAAUGCUUUCCAGAUAAAACUCGGUUAGUAUUCAUAUCAAGCCUAUGAAGUGGGUGUGAUUAUUAUUUCCAUUUUCCGGAGGAGGAAGCUGAGGCACUGAGAUAUGAAGGACUUGCCCAAGUGGAACCCGGGUUUGAAGACUACACAUCGGGCUCCAUGGUCUUAACCAUUGCACUCUGUUG
Balaenoptera ricei (Rice's whale) is the source of this 1064-nucleotide long non-coding RNA. RefSeq lists it as uncharacterized. The transcript is spliced from 5 exons. The record is from RefSeq and is a predicted model, not a curated record. Lineage: Eukaryota; Metazoa; Chordata; Mammalia; Artiodactyla; Balaenopteridae.